RNAcentral lists this long non-coding RNA (217 nucleotides) under Capsicum annuum. Its description in RNAcentral is "long non-coding RNA (CANN_LNC015857)". The record is from RNAcentral. Lineage: Eukaryota; Viridiplantae; Streptophyta; Magnoliopsida; Solanales; Solanaceae.
CACUAGAGAAGGUGAACAUAUACAAUUUGGUUCACCCUUCCAAGAAGUCUAGUCUGAACAUAUUGAUAAUAUUUAAAAAGGCCAAAUAAUUCUACAACAUGCAUGAAUUUAGGCCAUUAGACUUCAACAACAUGACAAAUAUGAAGGUGUGGUAUGAGGACUGAGUAAUUUUACUUUUUCUAACCUUUUACCUAUUUUAUUUCUUACAUUAGAAGUC